ACAUUCCUACAACAUACUGUUAAUGCACCAGAUACCAUUAGGACUCCACAGUUAAGUACGCUCAAGCUAGAGUAGUACUAGGAUGGGUGACUGCUCGGAAAGUCCGUGUUUUAUAUUCC
Picea glauca (white spruce) is the source of this 119-nucleotide non-coding RNA. The record is from Rfam. NCBI's taxonomy places the organism in Eukaryota, Viridiplantae, Streptophyta, Pinopsida, Pinales, Pinaceae.